ACAGAUUCAUUCUCACAAUUUCAAAACAAUAAAAUUUCCCCCUAUUCCAAAUUGUAUUGGUUUUACACUUGCACAAAUUCAACAUCCAAAUUACACUUACAUUAAUACCCAUAAAUAUUUGUUAUUUUAUCUAUACCCCCCCCCCCCCCCCCCACACACACACACACAACACAAUAAUGGAGAAUGGUGGUUCUACAAAAAGAAUAAGAGCUGAAGAUGUAAUAUCUAAGCUCAAAGAUGAUGGUGAUUUUGAUAUACUUCGUCUCAAAAUUGUUCGCAAACUCAAAGAAAAUGAAGAAUUGCGGAAUAGCAUAAUAGCCACUGUGAAAGAAUCAGUAGCACUUAACCGUCCAGGUGUAGAAAAUUUGAAACCAAGGCAACUCUCCGAUGCUAUAUAUCAAGAAGUUGGGGACAAAGUCAUGGGUAAAAUUUCAGAAGAUCUGUGGAGUACAAUCAGAACUGGUGAUGGCAUUCAAACGGAGAUAACCCAAACUGUUCAAUCGGUUUACAAUAAGUUAUUGUACCCACAACUAAAUGAAGCUGGCGAAUCUUCCUCUCAUUCAGACUUGCAGCCAGCUAAGAAUGGAGUUGAAAGUAAUGGACAUAUUGCUGCGUCAGGCAGUGGGUCCGCGUUGUCUGUUGAUGCGGAGCCAAGUGAACCUCCUGGUUUUGCCCGAUUAGGUUCAAAUCAGAACAGCAAAAGUGACCAUAAGGAAUCACCCAAAGAGGAAUCAGGAAUUCCUAUUCCUGUUCCUGCCCAGUCAGAGACCAAUUGCUCACUUGACCCUUUGGUGCCCGACAGUGUGGAUGUUGGUGCGCCACCUGGCUUUGCUAUAGUCACGAAAGAGAAGAAUCCAGAUAAUGUCGAUGAUGAAGAUCCGGACGUGCCUCCAGGAUUUGGCUGAUCGCUUAUUAAGUUAUAAUGCUUCUGUUUAUAUUUUUGGAAAAGGUUAACCAUAGUGGGUUGAUCAUUGACGUGUCAAGUUCAAGAAGCUUGUGUUGACACGUGCAAAGAGUACCUUACUUUGACUUCGCCGACUAGAAGUUCAUGACCUCUCUUUCUUCAAUUUCCCGAGGUUAGAAGCCUUAACUAUGUCACUUGUGCAUGAUCUUGGAUUACAGAUUAGUACUAUCAAACAUCAGAGCCUUUAGAUAUGAACAUUGUGGAUAAAAGGAUGUCAGUUGUAAGAGUUAAUUUUGUUGGUUCUUUAGAUGUUAAUCGUAUUAUUACUUCCUACACUGUACAGGGUCAACAUACUUUUUUGCCCUUAUGCUGUCUUUUAAAUGGUUUUCUUUUAGCUGUUUUUCCAAAAUUUCUAGGAGUUGAUGCUGUGGAUUGGACAAAGGAAAAUUAGUUGCCCAUAUCAAUUGGCAAGAAGGUAUGCAACACUAACUUCAGAUACAAGAAGUGUUAUUUAUUGGUAUUAAAAAGUUCCAAGCAUGCUGUUUGGAAUUCGAUAUUUAGGUUUGUUUGCCUAAACACUCCUGUAGUAUGAAUCGGAGUUUAGGUUUAUUUGCCUAAACAAUCCUGUAAUAUGAUCCAAAAUUUAGUUUUUUUUUUGCCUAAGCACUCCUUUAAUACGAUUCGCAAUUUUGAUUUGUUUGCCUAAAUACUCCUGUAAUUUACAGCAUGGAGAGCUAGAGUCCUGGCAUUACAUAAAUCUCUUUUUAAUUUCGGCAGUUUCAUUAACACAUUGUAUUAAGUACCAUUCUAGUUGUUAAUGAAAUGAUUGUCAUAUAAUUG
Molecule: RNA transcript, 1744 nt
Organism: Lycium ferocissimum
Lineage: Eukaryota; Viridiplantae; Streptophyta; Magnoliopsida; Solanales; Solanaceae
Exons: 5
Source: RefSeq, a predicted model, not a curated record